Molecule: ribosomal RNA, 291 nt
Filed under: uncultured Anoxybacillus sp.
Lineage: Bacteria; Bacillati; Bacillota; Bacilli; Caryophanales; Anoxybacillaceae
Description: partial 16S ribosomal RNA
Rfam family: Bacterial small subunit ribosomal RNA
Source: RNAcentral
AACGAGCGCAACCCUCGACCUUAGUUGCCAGCAUUCAGUUGGGCACUCUAAGGUGACUGCCGGCUAAAAGUCGGAGGAAGGUGGGGAUGACGUCAAAUCAUCAUGCCCCCUAUGACCUGGGCUACACACGUGCUACAAUGGGCGGUACAAAGGGUCGCGAACCCGCGAGGGGGAGCCAAUCCCAAAAAGCCGCUCUCAGUUCGGAUUGCAGGCUGCAACUCGCCUGCAUGAAGCCGGAAUCGCUAGUAAUCGCGGAUCAGCAUGCCGCGGUGAACUACGUUCCCGAGCCUU